This 2234-nucleotide ribosomal RNA is filed under the name Salmonella enterica. RNAcentral describes it as "partial 23S ribosomal RNA". It matches the Rfam family "Bacterial large subunit ribosomal RNA", at positions 711 to 2925 of the family's 2925-position model. Lineage: Bacteria; Pseudomonadati; Pseudomonadota; Gammaproteobacteria; Enterobacterales; Enterobacteriaceae. The record is from RNAcentral.
AGACCCGAAACCCGGUGAUCUAGCCAUGGGCAGGUUGAAGGUUGGGUAACACUAACUGGAGGACCGAACCGACUAAUGUUGAAAAAUUAGCGGAUGACCUGUGGCUGGGGGUGAAAGGCCAAUCAAACCGGGAGAUAGCUGGUUCUCCCCGAAAGCUAUUUAGGUAGCGCCUCGUGAAUUCAUCUCCGGGGGUAGAGCACUGUUUCGGCUAGGGGGCCAUCCCGGCUUACCAACCCGAUGCAAACUGCGAAUACCGGAGAAUGUUAUCACGGGAGACACACGGCGGGUGCUAACGUCCGUCGUGAAGAGGGAAACAACCCAGACCGCCAGCUAAGGUCCCAAAGUCAUGGUUAAGUGGGAAACGAUGUGGGAAGGCCCAGACAGCCAGGAUGUUGGCUUAGAAGCAGCCAUCAUUUAAAGAAAGCGUAAUAGCUCACUGGUCGAGUCGGCCUGCGCGGAAGAUGUAACGGGGCUAAACCAUGCACCGAAGCUGCGGCAGCGACACUGUGUGUUGUUGGGUAGGGGAGCGUUCUGUAAGCCUGCGAAGGUGGCCUGUGAGGGUUGCUGGAGGUAUCAGAAGUGCGAAUGCUGACAUAAGUAACGAUAAAGCGGGUGAAAAGCCCGCUCGCCGGAAGACCAAGGGUUCCUGUCCAACGUUAAUCGGGGCAGGGUGAGUCGACCCCUAAGGCGAGGCCGAAAGGCGUAGUCGAUGGGAAACGGGUUAAUAUUCCCGUACUUGGUGUUACUGCGAAGGGGGGACGGAGAAGGCUAUGUUGGCCGGGCGACGGUUGUCCCGGUUUAAGCGUGUAGGUGUGUGUUCCAGGUAAAUCCGGUUCACUUUAACACUGAGGCGUGACGACGAGGCACUACGGUGCUGAAGCAACAAAUGCCCUGCUUCCAGGAAAAGCCUCUAAGCAUCAGGUAACAUCAAAUCGUACCCCAAACCGACACAGGUGGUCAGGUAGAGAAUACCAAGGCGCUUGAGAGAACUCGGGUGAAGGAACUAGGCAAAAUGGUGCCGUAACUUCGGGAGAAGGCACGCUGACACGUAGGUGAAGUGAUUUACUCAUGGAGCUGAAGUCAGUCGAAGAUACCAGCUGGCUGCAACUGUUUAUUAAAAACACAGCACUGUGCAAACACGAAAGUGGACGUAUACGGUGUGACGCCUGCCCGGUGCCGGAAGGUUAAUUGAUGGGGUCAGCGCAAGCGAAGCUCCUGAUCGAAGCCCCGGUAAACGGCGGCCGUAACUAUAACGGUCCUAAGGUAGCGAAAUUCCUUGUCGGGUAAGUUCCGACCUGCACGAAUGGCGUAAUGAUGGCCAGGCUGUCUCCACCCGAGACUCAGUGAAAUUGAACUCGCUGUGAAGAUGCAGUGUACCCGCGGCAAGACGGAAAGACCCCGUGAACCUUUACUAUAGCUUGACACUGAACAUUGAGCCUUGAUGUGUAGGAUAGGUGGGAGGCUUUGAAGUGUGGACGCCAGUCUGCAUGGAGCCGACCUUGAAAUACCACCCUUUAAUGUUUGAUGUUCUAACGUGGACCCGUUACCCGGGUUGCGGACAGUGUCUGGUGGGUAGUUUGACUGGGGCGGUCUCCUCCUAAAGAGUAACGGAGGAGCACGAAGGUUGGCUAAUCCUGGUCGGACAUCAGGAGGUUAGUGCAAUGGCAUAAGCCAGCUUGACUGCGAGCGUGACGGCGCGAGCAGGUGCGAAAGCAGGUCAUAGUGAUCCGGUGGUUCUGAAUGGAAGGGCCAUCGCUCAACGGAUAAAAGGUACUCCGGGGAUAACAGGCUGAUACCGCCCAAGAGUUCAUAUCGACGGCGGUGUUUGGCACCUCGAUGUCGGCUCAUCACAUCCUGGGGCUGAAGUAGGUCCCAAGGGUAUGGCUGUUCGCCAUUUAAAGUGGUACGCGAGCUGGGUUUAGAACGUCGUGAGACAGUUCGGUCCCUAUCUGCCGUGGGCGCUGGAGAACUGAGGGGGGCUGCUCCUAGUACGAGAGGACCGGAGUGGACGCAUCACUGGUGUUCGGGUUGUCAUGCCAAUGGCACUGCCCGGUAGCUAAAUGCGGAAGAGAUAAGUGCUGAAAGCAUCUAAGCACGAAACUUGCCCCGAGAUGAGUUCUCCCUGAGACUUAAAGUCUCCUGAAGGAACGUUGAAGACGACGACGUUGAUAGGCCGGGUGUGUAAGCGCAGCGAUGCGUUGAGCUAACCGGUACUAAUGAACCGUGAGGCUUAA